CCUACGGGAGGCAGCAGUGGGGAAUAUUGGACAAUGGGGGGAACCCUGAUCCAGCGACGCCGCGUGAGUGAAGAAGUAUUUCGGUAUGUAAAGCUCUAUCAGCAGGGAAGAAAGAAAUGACGGUACCUGACUAAGAAGCCCCGGCUAACUACGUGCCAGCAGCCGCGGUAAUACGUAGGGGGCAAGCGUUAUCCGGAUUUACUGGGUGUAAAGGGAGCGUAGACGGCGAUGCAAGUCUGAAGUGAAAGGCGGGGGCCCAACCCCCGGACUGCUUUGGAAACUGUAUGGCUGGAGUGCAGGAGAGGUAAGUGGAAUUCCUAGUGUAGCGGUGAAAUGCGUAGAUAUUAGGAGGAACACCGGUGGCGAAGGCGGCCUGCUGGACUGCAACUGACGUUGAGGCCCGAAAGCGUGGGGAGCAAACAGGAUUAGAUACCCGAGUAGUC
RNAcentral lists this ribosomal RNA (443 nucleotides) under uncultured bacterium. RNAcentral describes it as "partial 16S ribosomal RNA". It matches the Rfam family "Bacterial small subunit ribosomal RNA", at positions 338 to 795 of the family's 1533-position model. The record is from RNAcentral.